RNAcentral lists this transfer RNA (75 nucleotides) under Pseudoxanthomonas gei. RNAcentral describes it as "tRNA-Val". It matches the Rfam family "tRNA". Rfam says of the family: Transfer RNA (tRNA) molecules are approximately 80 nucleotides in length. Their secondary structure includes four short double-helical elements and three loops (D, anti-codon, and T loops). Lineage: Bacteria; Pseudomonadati; Pseudomonadota; Gammaproteobacteria; Lysobacterales; Lysobacteraceae. RNAcentral also lists the same sequence under 5 other names. The record is from RNAcentral.
GGGCGGUUAGCUCAGUGGUAGAGCAUUGCCUUCACACGGCAAGGGUCGCAGGUUCGAACCCUGCACCGCCCACCA